AUUAGGGAAUUACAACAAAAAUAGGAAACAAUCCUAAAAUUAGCUCAAAACACAAAAAUAGGAAACAAUCCUAGAAUUAGGGAAUUACAACAGAAAAUAGGAAGUUACAACUAAUUACAAGAAUUUGAAAAUAAAAAGAAGAUCUAUUGUAAUGAAUUCUCUAAUAAUGACUUCUAAAAUUGGAGAUUCAAUAAUGCCUUAUUCAGGUUUUCAGUAUCUGAGAAAUCCGGCCAGUGAAAUUAAAGUGAUCUAAUUAAUCAUCUUGUUCACCCUUAAGCUUACAACUAAUGAAGCUUUAGUAGUUAAUUCAUUGUUUUCUUUGGCUCAAAUUGCCCAAAUAGGCUAAAUUUCCUUGUGCUCCAAAUUUUUUAGGAUUGUUCUAGCACCAUUAACCAGACAGAGAUCUUGGAACAAUGUUACUCAACCACAUGCUAUCUUAUAUUACUCUUAAAGAACUAGCAAAGGGGGUCUUCUCAUAGCCGAAGCAACAGGAGUUUCCGACACUGCUCAAUGAUUUGGCAUAUGGGGAGGGUUUCAAACAUGGGUAUCCUAAAAUUUCAAACCUAUUUUAGGAUAUGGCAUAAGGAGCAAUCAUACUUGAGCCCCAACACAUUCUAGAUACUCGCUGGAUCAAAUGGGGUAAGAAGUUUGAAAAGAACAAUUGGUUCAAUGGAAACAUUUACCAGUAGAAGAGGCCACAUGGGAGACACACCAAUCAUUGCUUGAGCAAUUUCCGAAUGUGGACCUUACGGACAAGAGUCCACCCGGUGGGGGAAGUAUUGAUAAGACAAGACAUUCUCAACGUGUGCCUAUUAGAAAUCCAUGGUACGUGUAAGGAGGACAGACUGUGCAUGGGAAGAUGGAUGUGUGUCAAAGACUUAGUCCAAGUUGUUCUCCAACGUUCACAUAUUUGCAAAGGAGUUGAAGGAGUGGGUCAUGCAGUUAUAGCUAUUUAUUUGUAACAUGUUAAGUAAUUGUUUCCUUAUUUGUUGCAAUUGUGAUCUUAAGUUUUGGGAAGAGGUUAAACUUUAUGUUUUUAAAUUCUAUCAGAUUCAAUAAGAAGGCAACAAAUAUUUGAUCCAAA
This is a long non-coding RNA of Vitis riparia (riverbank grape), 1084 nucleotides long. RefSeq lists it as uncharacterized. Lineage: Eukaryota; Viridiplantae; Streptophyta; Magnoliopsida; Vitales; Vitaceae. The record is from RefSeq and is a predicted model, not a curated record. The transcript is spliced from 2 exons.